UACGGGGGGGGCAAGCGUUGUUCGGAAUUACUGGGCGUAAAGGGCUCGUAGGCGGCCAACUAAGUCCGACGUGAAAUCCCUCGGCUCAACCGAGGAACUGCAUCCGAUACUGGCGGGCUUGAAUCCGGGAGAGGGAUGUGGAAUUCCAGGUGUAGCGGUGAAAUGCGUAGAUAUCUGGAGGAACACCGGUGGCGAAGGCGGCAUCCUGGACCGGUAUUGACGCUGAGGCGCGAAAGCUAGGGGAGCAAACGGG
Molecule: ribosomal RNA, 253 nt
Filed under: uncultured bacterium
Lineage: Bacteria
Description: partial 16S ribosomal RNA
Rfam family: Bacterial small subunit ribosomal RNA
Source: RNAcentral